CGCGUAGGCGGCGUUUUAAGUCGGGGGUGAAAGCCUGUGGCUCAACCACAGAAUGGCCUUCGAUACUGGGACGCUUGAGUAUGGUAGAGGUUGGUGGAACUGCGAGUGUAGAGGUGAAAUUCGUAGAUAUUCGCAAGAACACCGGUGGCGAAGGCGGCCAACUGGACCAUUACUGACGCUGAGGCGCGAAAGCGUGGGGAGCAAACAGGAUUAGAUACCCCCGUA
RNAcentral lists this ribosomal RNA (225 nucleotides) under uncultured Methylobacterium sp. RNAcentral describes it as "partial 16S ribosomal RNA". It matches the Rfam family "Bacterial small subunit ribosomal RNA", at positions 568 to 792 of the family's 1533-position model. Lineage: Bacteria; Pseudomonadati; Pseudomonadota; Alphaproteobacteria; Hyphomicrobiales; Methylobacteriaceae. The record is from RNAcentral.